This 326-nucleotide ribosomal RNA is filed under the name uncultured eukaryote. RNAcentral's name for it is "partial 18S ribosomal RNA". It matches the Rfam family "Eukaryotic small subunit ribosomal RNA", at positions 1470 to 1796 of the family's 1831-position model. The record is from RNAcentral.
CCCUUAGAUGUCCUGGGCCGCACGCGCGCUACACUGAUGCAUGCAACGAGUUUAUAACCUUGGCCUGAAAGGUCUGGGUAAUCUUUUGAACGUGCAUCGUGAUAGGGAUAGAUUAUUGCAAUUAUUAAUCUUGAACGAGGAAUUCCUAGUAAACGCUGGUCAUCAACCAGCAUUGAUUACGUCCCUGCCCUUUGUACACACCGCCCGUCGCACCUACCGAUUGAAUGGUCCGGUGAAGCCUCGGGAUUGUGUUUGGUGCCUUUACUGGUGCCGAGCGCGAGAACUUGUCUAAACCUUAUCAUUUAGAGGAAGGUGAAGUCGUAACA